Molecule: non-coding RNA, 145 nt
Organism: Gossypium hirsutum (cotton)
Lineage: Eukaryota; Viridiplantae; Streptophyta; Magnoliopsida; Malvales; Malvaceae
Source: Rfam
UAUUAAAAAUUGCAUCCAUAUCUACAGUUAAAAAUUGGCGUUGCUGACAGAAUAACUAAACAAUUACAUGAGACGUGCCACAUGUGCCUCAUUUUGACAUACAAAGACCAAUUUUUAAUUAUAGAAAUGAAUGAAAUUUUUAACA